GCACUGAAAUGCAACCGUUAGGUAAGUUAGCAAAAUCUUUGUUGGUAGUGCACAUGAUUUUGCACGUUUAUUUUUCCAUCUGAGGUAGUUUUCACAAUAAAAUUGCUCUCUGUCUCACAGCCCAGCUGGGACUCUGUGGUGACACCAUGCUACCGUGAAGCAAGAAAACACCAGAUGGCCCCAGAAGUUGAGCAAUCUUGAAUGUGGGAACCUGAAGUUUUAUGCCUUCCACUGAGUCCUGCUUCAUUGAACUUGUGAUGAGGACAUAUGACUUUAAAACUAAAAGGACAAGAUGAGCCUGGGGAAAUCCAGAUCCAUGUCUUGAGACUUUAGUUCUUCAAUCUAAGCCACGAACCAAAGCAAGCUGAAGGGUCUGAUUGAUAGAUCCUCCUGAAGACAAAUGCAGCAAGGGGCAAGAGAUUAAUCUUCGGGAUCCCAAGUACUUAUAAGUUCAAAGAUCAGCUGCCUGAUAUGUGUGUGAGGAAAUACGGAGUUAACUAAAAAAAUAUAGAGAGUUAAGUCCCCAAGGCUGAGGAGAAGCAAAAUGAAAAAAAAAAA
Molecule: long non-coding RNA, 558 nt
Organism: Coturnix japonica (Japanese quail)
Lineage: Eukaryota; Metazoa; Chordata; Aves; Galliformes; Phasianidae
Source: RefSeq, a predicted model, not a curated record